RNAcentral lists this ribosomal RNA (468 nucleotides) under uncultured bacterium. RNAcentral describes it as "partial 16S ribosomal RNA". It matches the Rfam family "Bacterial small subunit ribosomal RNA", at positions 28 to 507 of the family's 1533-position model. The record is from RNAcentral.
GACGAACGCUGGCGGCGUGCUUAACACAUGCAAGUCGAACGGAAAGGCCCUGCUUUUGUGGGGUGCUCGAGUGGCGAACGGGUGAGUAACACGUGAGUAACCUGCCCUUGACUUUGGGAUAACUUCAGGAAACUGGGGCUAAUACCGGAUAGGAGCUCCUGCUGCAUGGUGGGGGUUGGAAAGUUUCGGCGGUUGGGGAUGGACUCGCGGCUUAUCAGCUUGUUGGUGGGGUAGUGGCUUACGAAGGCUUUGACGGGUAGCCGGCCUGAGAGGGUGACCGGCCACAUUGGGACUAAGAUACGGCCCAGACUCCUACCGGAGGCAGCAGUGGGGAAUAUUGCACAAUGGGCGGAAGCCUGAUGCAGCAACGCCGCGUGCGGGAUGACGGCCUUCGGGUUGUAAACCGCUUUCGCCUGUGACGAAGCGUGAGUGACGGUAAUGGGUAAAGAAGCACCGGCUAACUACGUG